This 456-nucleotide long non-coding RNA is filed under the name Ornithorhynchus anatinus (platypus). Its description in RNAcentral is "lncRNA (ENSOANG00000042801.1)". Lineage: Eukaryota; Metazoa; Chordata; Mammalia; Monotremata; Ornithorhynchidae. The record is from RNAcentral.
UCCGGGUGGAGAGGGUGACCUUGUUUUGUCUGUGUCUGCACACAGACUAACUGUGUGUCUCUGCGUUUGUCAUCGCCUCAGAUUUAGCAUCCUGGCAUCUUGUCUGACUCUGUCUGUCUCUUUAAGGGUAACUGGAGAUUCAAACGACUCUCUUUUUCCUCCACUACUGAUUCCUUGCUGCUGGUCUGUGCGGCCGCUCCCGGCCAAACCGGAACAGAGAGGUUAUUCUAACUCCGCGGUGACCAGCGGCUCUUUCGAGGCCUGGCGUUUUCGCAUCCCUUUGAAGAAACCAACUGGUCGUCCUGGUUUCCUGACACUAAACCAAUGACAGAGGACUCUACGCUACAAUUGUCGUGCUUCGCUGCAAUAUCACAUCUCGCUGCGAAGCGGAAUAGGGUCGUUCACUGCCAGAUCACAGUCCACUGAGAUUUGGCUCCUCCCUGAAACAUCACCUCU